This 406-nucleotide ribosomal RNA is filed under the name uncultured bacterium. RNAcentral's name for it is "partial 16S ribosomal RNA". It matches the Rfam family "Bacterial small subunit ribosomal RNA", at positions 30 to 526 of the family's 1533-position model. The record is from RNAcentral.
AUUGAACGCUGGCGGCAGGCUUAACACAUGCAAGUCGAGCGAGCGGCGGACGGGUGAGUAAUGUCUGGGAAACUGCCUGAUGGAGGGGGAUAACUAAUGGAAACGGUAGCUAAUACCGCAUACCAUCAGAGGUGCCCAGAUGGGAUUAGGUAGUAGGUGUGGUAAUGGCUCACCUAGGCGACGAUCCCUCGCUGGUCUGAGAGGAUGACCAGCCACACUGCAACUGAUACACUGUCCAGACGCCUACUGGAGGCAGAAGUGGGGAAUAUUGCACAAUGGGCGCAAGUCUGAUGCAGCCAUGCCGCGUGUGUGAAGAAGGCCUUCGGGUUGUAAAGCACUUUCAGCGAGGAGGCGUUACUCGCAGAAGAAGCACCGGCUAACUCCGUGCCAGCAGCCGCGGUAAUUC